ACUUUGAACGGAUCUGUGUAGGAUAGGUGGGAGGCUUUGAAGCCAGGACGCUAGUUCUGGUGGAGCCGACGUUGAAAUACCACCCUGGUGCGUUUGAGGUUCUAACCUAGGUCCAUUAUCUGGAUCGGGGACAGUGCAUGGUAGGCAGUUUGACUGGGGCGGUCUCCUCCCAAAGCGUAACGGAGGAGUUCGAAGGUACGCUAGGUACGGUCGGACAUCGUGCUAAUAGUGCAAUGGCAUAAGCGUGCUUAACUGCGAGACUGACAAGUCGAGCAGAUGCGAAAGCAGGACAUAGUGAUCCGGUGGUUCUGUAUGGAAGGGCCAUCGCUCAACGGAUAAAAGGUACUCUGGGGAUAACAGGCUGAUACCGCCCAAGAGUUCAUAUCGACGGCGGUGUUUGGCACCUCGAUGUCGGCUCAUCUCAUCCUGGGGCUGUAGUCGGUCCCAAGGGUAUGGCUGUUCGCCAUUUAAAGAGGUACGUGAGCUGGGUUUAAAACGUCGUGAGACAGUUUUGUCCCUAUCUUCCGUGGGCGCUGCAGAUUUGAGGAAGCCUGCUCCUAGUACGAGAGGACCGGAGUGGACACACCUCUGGUGUACCUGUUGUCACGCCAGUGGCAUCGCAGGGUAGCUACGUGUGGAAGAGAUAACCGCUGAAAGCAUCUAAGCGGGAAACUCGUUUCAAGAUAAGAUCUGCCGGGGCCUUGAGCCCCCUGAAGGGUCGUUGUAGACCACGACGUUGAUAGGCUGGGUGUGGAAGCGCAGUAAUGCGUUAAGCUAACCAGUACUAAUUGCCCGUGAGGCUUGACCCU
This 809-nucleotide ribosomal RNA is filed under the name Aeromonas caviae. RNAcentral describes it as "partial 23S ribosomal RNA". It matches the Rfam family "Bacterial large subunit ribosomal RNA", at positions 2121 to 2925 of the family's 2925-position model. The record is from RNAcentral. Lineage: Bacteria; Pseudomonadati; Pseudomonadota; Gammaproteobacteria; Aeromonadales; Aeromonadaceae.